AAGUAGAGGCGCAGGGCAUAAGGUAUCAUACGAAAAGUGGACGGAGCGGUUCAAAAAAACGUAUGUGAAUGUAUGCUUUGCCGAAAGAGAGGUCUUUCGCUCACGGCUUUUCUUGGGUGCAGUCCCCAGCGGUCUGUAACUGUCAUCUUUAUUUCGUAACGAUGAUGCGCUAUG
RNAcentral lists this non-coding RNA (174 nucleotides) under bovine gut metagenome. RNAcentral's name for it is "Lysine riboswitch". It matches the Rfam family "Lysine riboswitch aptamer". From Rfam's summary of the family: Riboswitches are metabolite binding domains within certain messenger RNAs that serve as precision sensors for their corresponding targets. Allosteric rearrangement of mRNA structure is mediated by ligand binding, and this results in modulation of gene expression. The record is from RNAcentral.